RNAcentral lists this ribosomal RNA (253 nucleotides) under uncultured bacterium. RNAcentral's name for it is "partial 16S ribosomal RNA". It matches the Rfam family "Bacterial small subunit ribosomal RNA", at positions 524 to 776 of the family's 1533-position model. The record is from RNAcentral.
UACGUAGGGGGCGAGCGUUGUCCGGAUUCAUUGGGCGUAAAGCGCGCGUAGGCGGCUUCGUAAGUCGGCCGUGAAAUCUCCAGGCUCAACUUGGAGGGGUCGGGCGAGACUGCGGAGCUCGAGGCGGGUAGAGGGCAGUGGAAUUCCGGGUGUAGUGGUGGAAUGCGUAGAGAUCCGGAGGAACACCCGUGGCGAAAGCGGCUCUCUGGAACGGUACUGACGCUGAGACGCGAAAGCGUGGGGAGCGAACAGG